GAGUUUGAUCAUGGCUCAUGACGAACGCUGGCGGCAGGCUUAACACAUGCAAGUCGAACGAACUCUUCGGAGUGAGUGGCAGACGGGUGCGUAACACGUGGGAACCUACCCUAAGGUACGGAAUAACAUCGAGAAAUCGUUGCUAAUACCGUAUGUGCCCUUCGGGGGAAAGAUUUAUCGCCUUAGGAUGGGCCCGCGGCAGAUUAGGUAGUUGGUAAGGUAACGGCUCACCAAGCCGACGAUCUGUAGCUGGUCUGAGAGGAUGAUCAGCCACACUGGAACUGAGACACGGUCCAGACUCCUACGGGAGGCAGCAGUGGGGAAUAUUGGGCAAUGGGCGAAAGCCUGACCCAGCCAUGCCGCGUGAGUGAUGAAGGCCUUAGGGUUGUAAAACUCUUUCGCCGGUGAAGAUAAUGACGGUAACCGGUAAAGAAGCCCCGGCUAAUUUCGUGCCAGCAGCCGCGGUAAUACGAAAGGGGCUAGCGUUGUUCGGAAUUACUGGGCGUAAAG
Molecule: ribosomal RNA, 510 nt
Filed under: uncultured Parvularcula sp.
Lineage: Bacteria; Pseudomonadati; Pseudomonadota; Alphaproteobacteria; Parvularculales; Parvularculaceae
Description: bacterial SSU rRNA
Rfam family: Bacterial small subunit ribosomal RNA
Source: RNAcentral